GCCAGACUCCUACGGGAGGCAGCAGUGGGGAAUAUUGCACAAUGGGGGGAACCCUGAUGCAGCGACGCCGCGUGGGUGAAGGAGUAUUUCGGUAUGUAAAGCCCUAUCAGCAGGGAAGAACAAUGACGGUACCUGACUAAGAAGCACCGGCUAAAUACGUGCCAGCAGCCGCGGUAAUACGUAGGGGGCAAGCGUUAUCCGGAUUCACUGGGUGUAAAGGGAGCGUAGACGGCGACGCAAGUCUGGAGUGAAAGCCCGGGGCCCAACCCCGGGACUGCUCUGGAAACUGCGUCGCUGGAGUACGGGAGGGGCAGGCGGAAUUCCUGGUGUAGCGGUGAAAUGCGUAGAUAUCAGGAGGAACACCGGUGGCGAAGGCGGCCUGCUGGACUGCAACUGACGUUGAGGCCCGAAGGCGUGGGGAGCAAACAGGAUUAGAUACCCUGGUA
This 446-nucleotide ribosomal RNA is filed under the name uncultured bacterium. RNAcentral describes it as "bacterial SSU rRNA". It matches the Rfam family "Bacterial small subunit ribosomal RNA", at positions 330 to 792 of the family's 1533-position model. The record is from RNAcentral.